UGACACGUUAAACCACUCUGGAACGGUGCAUUGGUUCACAAGAAGCUCUACUGGCAAAAUCGCUAAAGUGUAAAUUCUGUUUGGCCAUUAAUCGCUUCUUAGCGAUUAUAACACCGUGCUCCACCGAUAAGUCGUGCAUGUAACAGACUUCGAACAAACAAAGUCGCAACUUCCAUAAUAGGUCACAGCUAAAUUUCUCGCUAAUUUACAGGCAAGAGGCAAAGGGCCAUUAAUAACCGUUGUAGCCGGCCGAAAUACCCGUAAUUUCAGUUUUGGUAUCCAAGGCGCGCCUGGUAAAUAUUUGAAUGCGACACGACGUGGCAAACGAGAUUCGCAAGGGUAGAAGUCGAAACCGGUGAGCCGUAGGCCGAUUGUACUCGGUCGCUCUGUUACCGACGGAGUAGGCACGAAAAUACGACUAAAUCUUUAACGGGCCUGCCGAGUCGGAGAUCGACUCGGUCUAGCAUGAACAGUAAGACUCUCCUUUCCGUGCGCACCGCUUGCACGCCAGAACUUCCCAGUUUCGCGUUAAGUGUAAUAAUAUACGGUUUGUUGGAACCUCGCGUAUUUAAGACUCCAAGUAGCAGCGUGCCGUGUACGAGUUACUUCAACUUCGUCGUUUAAACUCGUUACAACGGUUUACUAGAUAACUCGAUACGUAAUGAGAUAUGUACUUACUUAUCUGCAGUUUUAGCUUGGGGGUUGAAAAAUGUGAUGUUAUUGAUUCCGGUUCACGAGGCAGUUUUAACAAAUGAUCAUUGCCUAUAAUUGUUACAAAGAAUGGAAAUGAAUGAAGUUGUCUGUUUUACGGUUCAAAUAAAUUUUGACGCGUUAAUGAAGUAUUAAUUUGAGGUUAGAGUUACUUCUGAAAAAUGUGUAAAAAGGAGGUGAACAAUCCUAUAAUUCUCGGUGCUGUCGUUAACUAACUUUUCGUAACACAUAUUUAUUUAUAUUUAUUAUAAUAACAACUUCGAACCGGUUUCAAAAUAUUGUUAUUUUAACUAUGGCGCUUUAUCCAAGUAAUUCUAUAAACAAACAGAUUAUCACAAACAUCGAAGAGACAAAUUUUUUAUCUAAAGAUUCCAAAG
Eufriesea mexicana is the source of this 1088-nucleotide long non-coding RNA. RefSeq lists it as uncharacterized. The record is from RefSeq and is a predicted model, not a curated record. NCBI's taxonomy places the organism in Eukaryota, Metazoa, Arthropoda, Insecta, Hymenoptera, Apidae. The transcript is spliced from 3 exons.